This 75-nucleotide ribozyme is filed under the name Crocodylus porosus (Australian saltwater crocodile). RNAcentral describes it as "Mammalian CPEB3 ribozyme (ENSCPRG00005011187.1)". It matches the Rfam family "Mammalian CPEB3 ribozyme". Rfam says of the family: The mammalian CPEB3 ribozyme is a self cleaving RNA located in the second intron of the CPEB3 gene which belongs to a family of genes regulating messenger RNA polyadenylation. The record is from Rfam by way of RNAcentral. Lineage: Eukaryota; Metazoa; Chordata; Crocodylia; Crocodylidae.
ACUGCAAGUUUGAGGCCAUAGCAGAAGUGUUCACAACACAGCCUGUCAGAUUCCAAUAUAUUUGUGAAUUCUGCU